AUCAAUCUGACGAGUCCAAAAUAAGACAAAACCCGCGUCCUGGAU
This 45-nucleotide non-coding RNA is filed under the name Schistosoma mattheei. The record is from RNAcentral. Lineage: Eukaryota; Metazoa; Platyhelminthes; Trematoda; Strigeidida; Schistosomatidae.